UUGUUCUAACCCUGUUGCUUCCUUUGCUUCGCCUGGAACUACCUUGCUAACACCUUCUUACUUACAGUCUUGCUGAGCUUAGGAAGUGAAGUUGUAGGGAUGAAAAGCCUAUAUUUAACUUACAAACAAAGGCUGAAAGCUGGUGUUUGCCAGUCACAAGAGAGCAUUAGUGCUUCCCGUUAGUCUUACGAGGAGGAGAAGCACGUAAUGGGAACGAGGAGCUUCAGGUUGGUACAUUGCACGCAUUAAAACCUUAACUCUUAUAACCUGUCUUUCCUUGUUAUCCCUUGCUUUUAGCUCG
This 301-nucleotide long non-coding RNA is filed under the name Lathyrus oleraceus (garden pea). Its description in RNAcentral is "Pisum sativum (pea) long non-coding RNA (PSAT_LNC012054)". Lineage: Eukaryota; Viridiplantae; Streptophyta; Magnoliopsida; Fabales; Fabaceae. The record is from RNAcentral.